RNAcentral lists this unclassified non-coding RNA (1661 nucleotides) under Gigantopelta aegis. Its description in RNAcentral is "cTD small phosphatase-like protein 2-B, transcript variant X2". Lineage: Eukaryota; Metazoa; Mollusca; Gastropoda; Neomphalida; Peltospiridae. The record is from RNAcentral.
GAACCAUCCGGGGAUCGCUGCCUACGCGCGAAAUGGAGUCAGAGUAAACAUCGAAAGAGUGUCAGAAAUACCAGAUAGUGUGGAGGAUGCAGCUACGUCCUAAGUCGAACGGACCCACUCACCGGGCUGUGAUUGGUCUAGCCAAGUCGAACGGUCCCACCAACCGGGCUGCGAUUGGUCUAGGCAAGUCGAAAGGUCCCACCCACCGGGCUGCGAUUGGUCUAGCGAAGGGCGGGGACGGGCUCAGUCCACACAUCGCAUCACGGAAACGCACUCACAAGAUCGACAAGUCAGCCACAGAGGUUGUGAAGGAGACACCGGUGAAGAAAUAUCAUGCAGAGAAUGGCUACGUCGACCACACGCCCCAACCACGGACCAACGGCACCGAUACACUCAUCUCAUCAACACCACAUCACAUCAAAUCAAAACUCAAGAAAAAAGCCAGCGAGGAUAAGAAGCAGCUCCGUGUGAAGAAUGACCCGACCAGUCCGCCUCGGACGUCGCUACUCGGGACGAUAUUCUCCCCCCUGUACCCCCCGUACGUGGGGCACGAAGGGGACACCGAGCUGCCUUCUCAGAAACAGGAGCUGGAAGACAUCGCGCGGUCUCUCAUUCUCGACAUGAAAUCCGCCGAAACUGACCAGGAUAACAACACCUGCAACUACAACAUCGGCAAGGAGAACGAGGACCCGUCGAUGGAGGAGUCUAUAGACUGCCACGAGCCGUGUGCCGUCGAGAAGGUGUACGAGGAGAACAACAACACUGGAGGCGGCGGGGCUGGGAUGGUUGUGUUUAGCCCGGGCACCGGUACGACGGGGGCCGAGUGUGGGGGGGACGCGGCGAUCACCGACCACGGGGAACUGACCGUGUACAACGCGGCGGACAUCGCCGACUGCGACUCGACUACGUGCAUCGUAGCCGAGGAAGAAACCUGUGAGGAGGAGAACUACGAGUGGGAGCAGGAGACGUACGACCCAUACACAAUAAUUCGGAGUUUACCUCCCCUGACGGACGAGUUGCGAGCCCGGGCGCCGGCCUUGCCACUCAAAACACGAAGUUCACCAGAGUUUUCACUAGUUCUAGAUUUGGACGAGACGUUAGUUCACUGUAGUCUGACAGAACUAGAGGAUGCGGCCUUCUCUUUUCCGGUCUUGUUCCAGGACGUCACUUACCAGGUGUUUGUAAGGACGCGGCCGUAUUUCCGGGAGUUUCUGGAGCGCGUGUCUCAAGUGUUCGAGGUAAUUCUGUUCACGGCGUCGAAGAAAGUCUACGCCGACAAACUGCUUAACCUGCUCGAUCCCGACAAGAAACUCAUCAGACACCGUCUGUUUCGAGAACACUGUAUCUGUGUUAACGGCUAUUACAUUAAAGAUCUGAGUAUUCUCGGGAGAGACCUCGCCAAAACCAUCAUCGUUGACAACUCUCCGCAAGCGUUUGGAUAUCAGCUAGAUAAUGGCAUCCCUAUAGAGAGUUGGUUUGUUGACAAGCUGGACAUAGAACUCAUGAAACUGUUGUGUGUUUUUCUUUUCUAGCUAGAUAACGGCAUCCCUAUAGAGAGUUGGUUUGUUGACAAGCUGGACAUAGAACUCAUGAAGCUGUUGCCCUUCUUGGAUGAUGUUGUCAUGCAGCACCGUGACGUGAGACCUCUGAUCCGAGACCGG